AGGUACUUGAAACUCUUAUUCAGUGCUCACGGUAUAAAACUUCCAGGAUAUAAUAAACAUAAACUUAAUAAGGUUAUUACAUCAAAGUUCUUCUAAUCCCAGGUACGCAAACCUUUAAGCGUUUAUCAUAUGAUAGUUUAAUAUUUACAAACAUGAAAAUUAUCUAUUACAACACUCUUCAGCUAUUCUCCUAUUUUUUCUUUUCCCUUGUCUUUUCCAGACCCUUCUGCCCGAGUCUGCUCAGCUGAAAACAUUUAAUAAAACAAGUAUGAGCAUUUAAUUGCUCAGCAAGUAAUAGCAUUCUUUAAAGCUUAACAAGAAAUAAAUGUUUUCUUUGAAGCAUGCUUUGACAGUGAAUCAAAACUGUAAAGCAAUAAAUCUUGAAUCAUUCACAUUUUUGAAAUAUCAUAACAACAUCGAAUAACUGAGAGGUUUUAAGACCAUGAACAUAUUUUUCUUUUCUUGAAAAGGUUCAAUCAGAAAUAUUACCAGAUGAACCGUCUUAACUUACGAGCACGUAGGGUGAUCAGCCCUUUAUGCCCUGUAUUGAUCAAUACUAUCUUUUUCAGAACAAUUUUCAUGUUCCACAUCACCACUCCCAGAGUGCAAUAAAAAUAUCCCAUUUAAGGGUAUGUUCAUCCUCAGUUUUAGAUUCCAACUACAACAAUAUAGCUGGAUAGCUUAAAUCAUGGCACAAUAAUAUUUCAAGACUUAAUAUAAAGAAAUUGAAAUAUUUCACAGCUGUGUUUGGCCAGAAGAAAUGGCUCAGAUUUCUAUACAACCUGCUCAUGCAUAUGAUAAUAUCUUACCCAAUCUUUUGAAGAUGAUUGGAAUAAAAAUAUUAUUCAAUCUUAUAAUAUUCAUAAAUAAGGAAAGACAGUUCAGGAUUUAAAGAACCUGUCCACAUAUGAAUGAUCUCAGAAUACUUGCUCAAUAAAGAGUAAGAUUUAGAUACUUGCCUUGUUCGUAGACUAUUGAUUAAAUUCAGCUUAACUUGUGUAUUCUCACAGAUCCUACAUAAUUGUUUGCAUUCACAAUUAUGUCAACCAAAUAGCCAAGUCAUAUAGCUGGUAAGUUCAUGUAUUACAUAAUCACAGUGAUCAUAUGAAAUAUUUUUAUAUAUUUUUCAAAUAUCUCAUCCAUGUUAUUAUAACAAUCAUUUCUUUCUUUUAUAGGGUCUGAUAUAACUUCUGUUAUUACUUUUUUUACAUCAAAGAUAAUUUUCAUGGUAUUCGUUAAUUCUCCUUUUACUUCUUUUGUUUCCAUAAGUAUACAUUGCAAUCUGCUUUAUAACUUUAGUAUUCAAGGUGAAUACCUAAGGUAUUUCAUGUUUCACAAGGUAACUUUAUAGCAAAUCUUACAUAUCAAAGGUAAUUUCCACUUGAAUAGUUAUUCUUUGGCAUUUUCAUGAUUUAUAGACUCAUUCUGGUAUGCCAUUUCAUUACAAAUUCUUGUUUUACUUUGAAAUGCUAAAACAAUCUUUUGAGGUUUAAUAGUACUGAACUCAGUUUAGUACUUCCAAUAUUGGCCAUUUAUUCAUAUGAUAGUUCUUAUUAUUGAGUUUAUUAACUUAUAAAAUUUUUGAGUAUAUUCUAGAUUUAUUUAUAUACAUAUUUUACCAUUUCAUUAAAACAGCUAUUUUAAGCCUUUUUCUUUAAAAUCUAACCUUUUCAUUAUCGAUCUAAUAACAUUAAAUCAUGGGUUUGGUAAAAGUCCCCUCUUGCUUGCUCAGUUGGGGAAAAAUUAUAAACCCUUUCUUAUAGCUAUAUCAUUAGCUAAGCCUUGAUAUGGUUUUGGUUGGCCCCUUAGGCCCCAAAUCAGACCCAACGCUGCUAUUGCAGCUGUUAACUUGCUAACUGCUGCUGCAAAUGAGCAACAUCCCUGUCAUUCUUCUUUAACUCCUAUACUUGCAAACCCCAAAGGAAAGUCUAUAUACUGGUUUAUAAAACUAACUUAAACCAUGCUUGAUAGCUAGCUCUAUAAAAUUAUAUUAAUUCAUCAAAACAGGCUGCCCAAACUGCUAUAGUAGCAGCUUGCAGCUACCUGCUGCAGUGCAUUAGAACCAUUUUUGCAAUUAGUAGCAGCAGCCCCUUCUCCCCUUGCUCUUUGCUUCAAACCACUUCACAUCCUAGCUCACUAGUUUAGUCACUACGAGUUUUUAGUGUGCUAUAGAUAAGGCAACAACACAAACUACUGCCUUAAAGCCAAUUAGAAACUCUCAGUCAUUGCACAUCUGGUCUACUGCUGCUACUUAGGCAGCAGCCUUUAGCCGAACAUGGCUAUUUUUUUUAUUAAUCUCAUGCUUCUAACCACAUGAUGAUUUACCUCCCUUUUUAAAUAUAUAGUAUAUAGCAUAAGAGAGUAUAUCUAGAAAUUAUAAAACCUCUAUUUCAAGCUUGCUAGGCAGCCCAACUCAACACUCAAAGUUGCCUUGAUAUACCAUUUUUUUCAAUUUUUCAUAUUAGCUUGAAUUUGAGUUUCAUUUCACUCUAAUAUAUUUAAACUUGUUAAUUAUCAUCACAUGAAACACAGGAAUCAAAUCCCCAAGCUUUAAUUCUAUCAAAUUAGCAGUUGUUAAGCAAAACAGUCCAUUGAGAACUUUUAUCAAACACCUUACAGGCACUGUUUUGCAACACAAGUAUCAAAGCUAUUUAUUUGCUUAAAAAUCCCAGUUUGGCUCCCUUAUUACUCCACAGCCCACUUAUCUCUUCUAAUUUAGUUCCAGCCAUAAGCAAAUCCACAAUGCAAUCGAAUUUCUAUUUAAAUAACUAUCACAUACAAAUUAGUUAGUUUAAUGCCCCUUGUGAGCCAUCAUAUCUGAUUUUUAAUUUAAUCAGCAUGUAUUGGUAUGAUCCUCGUACAAGUCACAAUUCACAAUUCGCAAUUCACAUCACAAUAUUCUAUAACAUCUACCUACAUAACUAAUCAAAACGAUAAAGAAAGAAACACAAUUUCUUUACCUUACACUUGCUUAUACCCGAAUGGCUGCACUGGACUAGUAAGGAAGCUCGGCUAAACUAAACAGGGAAGAGUCCAGGUAGUAACUUAGUCAGGAAAGGAGUCGGUUGAGAGAAAAGGUGUGCAGGGAGUUACAUGGAGUUCUUUGCUUGGCUUUGUCUUUAAUUCAUACUUGAGCAAUACGUAUUGUAGCCUUACUGAGUUGAUAGCCUAUACAAUUCUCCAUUUUACACCUCCUGCUAAUAUUACUUGAAGGUUACUCCUUCAACUAAAACCUCCCAGCACAUGCUCUCCUUCUUUAACUAAUAAGUUUUUUUUUUAAAACUAUGUUUGGUUAGAAUAACCAAUUAUCUCCCGCUCCGUACAUAUCGCAUAACAAUUACUGUAUUUAUAAAAAA
RNAcentral lists this long non-coding RNA (3356 nucleotides) under Panax ginseng (ginseng). Its description in RNAcentral is "long non-coding RNA (PGIN_LNC011734)". The record is from RNAcentral. Lineage: Eukaryota; Viridiplantae; Streptophyta; Magnoliopsida; Apiales; Araliaceae.